RNAcentral lists this ribosomal RNA (1489 nucleotides) under uncultured rumen bacterium. Its description in RNAcentral is "partial 16S ribosomal RNA". It matches the Rfam family "Bacterial small subunit ribosomal RNA". The record is from RNAcentral.
AGAGUUUGAUCAUGGCUCAGGAUGAACGCUGGCGGCGUGCUUAACACAUGCAAGUCGAACGAAGCUCUUCUAACAGAUCCUUCGGGUGAAGAUAGAAGAUGACUGAGUGGCGGACGGGUGAGUAACGCGUGGGAAACCUGCCCUAUGCAGGGGGAUAACAGUUGGAAACGACUGCUAAUACCGCAUAAGCGCACAGCAUCGCAUGGUGCAGUGUGAAAAGCCUUUACGGCAUAGGAUGGUCCCGCGUCUGAUUAGCUAGUUGGUGAGGUAACGGCCCACCAAGGCGACGAUCAGUAGCCGACCUGAGAGGGUGACCGGCCACAUUGGGACUGAGACACGGCCCAAACUCCUACGGGAGGCAGCAGUGGGGAAUAUUGCACAAUGGGCGAAAGCCUGAUGCAGCGACGCCGCGUGAGUGAUGAAGUAUCUCGGUAUGUAAAGCUCUAUCAGCAGGGAAGAUAAUGACGGUACCUGACUAAGAAGCACCGGCUAAAUACGUGCCAGCAGCCGCGGUAAUACGUAUGGUGCAAGCGUUAUCCGGAUUUACUGGGUGUAAAGGGAGUGUAGGCGGUUUUGCAAGUCUGAUGUGAAAACCCGGGGCUCAACUCCGAGGAUUGCAUUGGAAACUGUAGAACUAGAGUGUCGGAGAGGUAAGUGGAAUUCCUAGUGUAGCGGUGAAAUGCGUAGAUAUUAGGAGGAACACCAGUGGCGAAGGCGGCUUACUGGACGAUUACUGACGCUGAGGGCUCGAAAGCGUGGGGAGCAAACAGGAUUAGAUACCCUGGUAGUCCACGCUGUAAACGAUGAAUACUAGGUGUUGGGGACCACAGGUCCUCGGUGCCGCAGCUAACGCAAUAAGUAUUCCACCUGGGGAGUACGUUCGCAAGAAUGAAACUCAAAGGAAUUGACGGGGACCCGCACAAGCGGUGGAGCAUGUGGUUUAAUUCGAUGAUACGCGAGGAACCUUACCCGGGCUUGAACUGCAGGCGAACGAUACAGAGAUGUUGAGGCCCUUCGGGGCGCCUGUGGAGGUGCUGCAUGGUUGUCGUCAGCUCGUGCCGUGAGGUGUCGGCUUAAGUGCCAUAACGAGCGCAACCCCUUUCUCCAGUUACCAUCAGGUAGAGCUGGGCACUCUGGAGACACUGCCACCGUAAGGUGUGAGGAAGGUGGGGAUGACGUCAAAUCAGCACGGCCCUUACGUCCGGGGCUACACACGUGUUAUAAUGGGUGGUACAGAGAGUCGGUCGCUGGCAAUAGCGAUCCAAUCCUAAAAGCCAUCCUCAGUUCGGAUUGGGGUCUGCAACCCGACCCCAUGAAGCUGGAUUCGCUAGUAAUCGCGCAUCAGCCAUGGCGCGGUGAAUACGUUCCCGGGCCUUGUACACACCGCCCGUCAAGCCAUGAAAGCCGGGGGCGCCUGAAGUCCGUGACCGCGAGGGUCGGCCUAGGGUGAAACCGGUGAUUGGGGCUAAGUCGUAACAAGGUAACCGUA